This is a long non-coding RNA of Cygnus olor (mute swan), 402 nucleotides long. RefSeq lists it as uncharacterized. The record is from RefSeq and is a predicted model, not a curated record. The transcript is spliced from 3 exons. Lineage: Eukaryota; Metazoa; Chordata; Aves; Anseriformes; Anatidae.
AGAGAGAGCAGAGCAGGCAGUGUUGGCCAGAAAAAGAGAGGAGAAUGUAGAAAAUCAGAAGGACUGUUGGGAAGACCCAGCACUCUGGAGACACAAUGCAGUAAGAGGGGCUUUGGAGAAGGGAGGCUGGGGCAGAAGCAGAAUUUUGGAGGAGGUGAUUAAAGGAACUGAUCUGACUGCAUGGAUUCAUCAACUCAGGGACACCUGUGUAUAGAAAAUGCACUGCAUGCAGAAUCCUUUGUCGUGGGAAAAAAACUCAGGAAGCACAAUACUGCAACCUCUGCAGCCACUGAGACCUGCUAGAAUUGAACUCUAAUUUUCUGUAUAAUAGAGAUGAAUGCCCUUAGAGAAGCAAAUAUAGGAAAGGUUAGUGUCCUUACAGGUUAUUUUCAUGAUACUGCA